Xiphophorus hellerii (green swordtail) is the source of this 4511-nucleotide long non-coding RNA. RefSeq lists it as uncharacterized. The record is from RefSeq and is a predicted model, not a curated record. Lineage: Eukaryota; Metazoa; Chordata; Actinopteri; Cyprinodontiformes; Poeciliidae. The transcript has 2 exons.
CUCUUCUGAUCACUCCUUUGAUUCAUCUUGAGCCGAGUUCUUUCCCCUUCCAGAUUAUGACCGUAACGAGGCUCAGUGCGAUACUGAGGAGUUAAGAAAUGCAUCUGUACAUGUUUUGCACCUGUAUGAUGGUGAAGGACUUCAGAUAGCUCAUUGUUUUUACCCCUCAUGCUGCAUUUCUGGUGCAGUUCCUUGGUAAUUAUUGACCAAAAGCUGAUGGGGAGCAGAUUUUUUUUUUGUUUUUUUUUAGAAUACUGACCAAUUUCCACCUUCUGGAGAUUUUUGUACAUUCUUUGCUUAAAGUGUUCAACAUCUGUUCUCUGUCAUUCCACUUUAUUAAUCACACAAGUCUGUUCUUGUGUGGAUUUCUUUGAGUAGAUCACUUAUUACAAACAUAUGGUGCUAACUUCAUGUCGAUAGGCUCCCUUUAAAGCUUUUUAUUGUUUGAUAUACCAAGCAAUAAUAAAAGUCAAUCCACAGAAAUGUGGCCAGUUUUGAUCUUUAUCUAACUUAUUUGGAGCAUUUCUCAUAACGAGAUCAAAAAUCAAAUGUAUAAAGACUGUAAUUUUGUUAUUAAUAUUAUUUUGAUUCAGUAAACUGUAGAAAGACCAUGUAGUAAGGCAGUAAACAGUUCCCACCCUGCUGACAUUUAGUCAACUGAGUUGUAAGUUGUAAGUCACUGCGAAGGGUGUAAUUUUCUAACUGAAACUGGAUUCUGGAAAAUUUUUUUCUGUUUGUUUGGUGAUGUAUUAUGUUGAGCAUUGUUUUUGAUACACCUUGUUUCAAACUGAAACUGUAGUCAAAGUACUGUCAAGCAGAGACAUGUCUUUUCUGUGUAGAUGGCGGUUUUAGAUGUCCGUUGCUAUAUGGGAUUCGUGGAAAGGGCUGUUCCCUCUGCUUGUGUUCUAGGAAAAAUAUCAAGGGAGAUAACAGACACAGCCCUCAAGGUACAUCUAUCAUACUGGGUCAUUAGAUUUAAUCUUUAAGCACAAGACAGCUUUAAUACCCUUAUAAAUGAAACUUCGAAAGAUCUAAUUUGGCUUUAGACUGAUUUAGUUUGACAAGUUUUUCCCAGGAAUGACUGUCUAAAUGUGGCUGAGGAUUGUGCAACCACCAUAUUAUCCAUCCUACAACAUCGUGCUGACUUGCAAAUAAUAAGGCGGGAUUUCUCUUGGGGGAACGUGUGCCAUGUUUAUGUUUUUUUAUAUCUUAUUAAAAACUAAAUAAGUGUAUCGCAAAGACUGAAAGCCGAAGUAAAGUUUCACAGGACACAGAUGAUUUAGGCAAAGGAUGGGGGGGGGGUUCAAAGGAAAUUAAUACUUAACUAAACCCUUUAUUGGGAUUUUCAAUAAAGGUGGGUUUUGAGAGGGGACCUAAGGAGGGGUCUCUGCUUAAAUGGGCUUCAUCAUCUCAAACCCUGAGGGUUCAGACUUCACACUCUCAGCCCUUUAGCUGACCUCUGACUAAUAGAUCAAACUCCUGGAUGCAGUUUGCAAAGUAUGUUCAUGUGCAGCAUUAUGGAGUCAGAGCUGAGAAGGGCCACGGAGAGCCUUACUUUGGAGUGAGGCGGUCUGUGGAAAAUUGAUUCUGAGACACUGUUGGAACCAGAGUGAACAGACUACAAUAAAAGCAAUAUCUCCUGGCUCCUUGGCUUAAAAAAAAACAAAAAAAAAACACUCUACCUUGAGCUCCUCACCAUCUGGACCUGCUUAACAUGUCUUUGGUUCCGACAGGUGAAAAUGCUGCUGCAGUUUUUUCAGGAACGGUCAGAUAAAAGCUCGUCAACUUUUUGAACUGAACUUGUUUUGCUGUUAUUUGAAGGGAGAGACGUCACCUUUACAGAACAAUCCCGUUCUUGUAUUUGAAGACUGGAAACAGAAGGAGUCGAAACCUAGGACUGGCUGCAAAGAUUAGGAGUAAAUUGGAGAGGUUUCAUCUGGAUAUCGAUUUGUUACUGAUGCAUUAAACGUUUCUAACAGAGACAAAUCAUGCAUUAUUCCUGACUUUAUUUUUUGUUUGUUUGGUUUUUUUUGGGGGGUGGGUUCAACUUUGAUUUCCAACAGAAUUUUCUUCCCUAUGAGGAUCUUGGCAGCUCAUCCAGGGUAACUGUAAACCUCUCAGCUUCGCUGACCAUUAUUUCCCUUGCUUAGGUUGCCGGCGUGAGUGUGCGGCUGUAUUAUGGCAUACUCUUUUUAUUUUCAGAUGAUGAUGUUACUGCAAAUGCCCAAUCUAGGAAUAUUGUUUAAUAGCCAGACGCAGGUCUAAACUUUUCCACAGUAUCCUGUGUUCCUUGGUCUUCAUCAUGCUAUUUGUUGACUAAAUGUUUUCUGGCAAACCUUUGGUAGCUUCACAUAACAGCCUUAUUAUUUCCAGUCCAACCUUCCUUAUUGUGGCAUCUUUUCACAUGCCACAAUGGGAGUUUGAAGCUCUUUACAAUACUCAAGAAUUACCCAGACAUAUGUUUUAAGGUCUGUUUUUAAUAGUCUCAAAAGAGAUUCCUCCCCGAGGAGAAAAUGCAACGGUGAUCUAGACGAUUCACACACAUUCACAUAAUCCAGAACAUUCCUCUACAGGAGGAGGACUCUGGAAUGUACCAUAUGUAAACACAUACCACAUUCCUUCUUAAACUUUGAACAUUAAUCAUAUUAGGAUAAUUUCUUUUUCUGAGUGUUGAACAGGUAUGAGAAUUGUGUCUCACAUAAGCAGUUCUCAUGUUUUCCUGUUAUUUUUACAUGUAUUCUCCAACCAAAUGUCUAGAGAAGUAACCCAAUUUGUAAAUAGAGUCUUCCUUGAUGUACCUUAACCAUCUAUACUGGACCAGUGAAGUAAGACCAGCUAACACAAACAGUAGUGUACGUAUAACUGCUUAAAUAACAUAAAUCUCCUUUUUCAUGUUUUGGUCUUUCUUGGUGCAAAUUUGAUGUCUGUCCAAUCAUGUAGAUAUUCCAAAUGCUUUCAUUAGAAAAAUGUUCUAAGAUCUACUAAGAAAUAUUUGGAUUUGUGGUUUAAGAAAAGUUCUUCUCACCUGAAAAUAUGAAUUAAAUAUAAUCUUUAAAGCAGCUGGUGCUGGGGAAUGCUUCAGCUCCUCAGGUUUCUGAACAGAUUAAAAUGAACCUGUGGUACCUGUCGGGAACAGACUCAAAUAUGUGGACUGAGCAAUGGUCUUAGGCAAAGGUCUUAGUAGUGUGGUGUUUGGUUUCUGAAAUUGCCUGUUGUGACAGCUGGUGAGACAAAAUGCUGGUGGGUCACUUCUUAAUAUCUCUUGGACGCUUCCUGCACUACAGUAGGGUCUGCCAGCUUGAAGCAAUAGGUUUUUCAUUGUCCUAGUAUGCGGGAGCAAUCUACAGACAACGAGGGCUUGAUUCACCACUGAGACUCAAGUUUUGAAGGUUAGAGCUAAGACUAAGUAAGUCUGUUUUGGAACAUUACAGAUUAUAAGGUCCUGUGUUUGCUUUUGUGCCCCAUCCAGUGGAAAACUCCAGCAGGCACAAGCACAAUUUGCUACUAGGAUGAGAAUCAACAAGUCCAAGCCUGAGGCUGUUGUCCCUUAUAAGGUGAUUUGGUAACUCCCAAGUUAGAAUAAAUUAUUUUCGCCAUCAAAAGAUGUCUUUUGGCCCCCAUUCAUGAAGAAAUUGGUAGGAGAAUGACUAAUUAAUUAUAGAAUAACUAAAGACCUGAACAACGAUACUUGGAAAAACAGGAGAGAGGAGUUGUUCACAGCAUGCCUGGAAACACCUUCUGGUGUGAGAGUGGUCUUGUUAUCUAAAAAGGGGAUCAAAUGACAGUCAAUGCUCUGCUAUGUAAAAGGUCAUCUAAAUGGGUUCCAAUAUUUCAUGAGGACACACUGGACGUUUCCCAAAUGAAAUAGGGCUCAAAAUAGACCAAGAAAAUGUCUUGCCUAGCUUCAAAGGGAUGCAAUAUUAAAAAUAUAAGUAAUGGCAUUUAUGUUUUACUGAUAUUAACUAACUGAAAUUCACCAGUGUUUCACAUCAUUAGGUUCCAACGGACUAUUCAAUGUGCAAAAGCUUUUUCUUUCUUUUUUUUGAAGGUUGGGCAUAGCAAUGUUUUGUUUUGUUUUGGGGGGUUUUCUGUUUGUUUUUUUGUUUUACAGUACAAACUUGACCACGAAAUUCUAACCUACAUAAAUCGAUGCGAUGGCACGGAGAUGCUUUGCUGGAGUACAAGACAUGGGCAUACGUAAUGUAUUCUUAUUGUUGUUGUGUACCCUCAGUUGUACAGAGUUCAGAGAGUUGGUUCAGUUGACGUUCCAAGAACUGACGUGUGUUUGUAUCCUUUCUUGCUAAGUCUAGAUCUAAGACUAGAUCAUCCACUCCUUGCUGCCUGAACUUGUUUUUUCCAAGAAGUGACGGUACAGAAAAUGUGGCUUUGGCGUUGUCACACCUGCAAUAAAUAUGCAACAUGUGCAAAAAGAUAAAACACCUGCAUUUAUUUUGCUUAAAUUCUUGAUGUUCUUUAUGAGAGGAAUAAAUUUACAACUUGUUUAUUACUUA